CCACAUUUAAUUACUAUUGGAAAUUAAAAAAAAAGAAAAGAAAAAAAGGAAGGUAAAAACUAAAAAACGGAGCAUUUCAAAGACCCUUUCGGCAUGACUUUGAAGACCCCAUCGAAGGAAGAAGGACUUCGUUGCAACCUCAUUUCGCAGACCCUUUCGGCAUGACUUUGAAGACCUCUGUAUGUCGCCGCCAAAUAGGUAAAGAUGUUGUGAUCCCGCCGAAGUAAGGGCGUGGAGGAACUGUUUUGGAGCACGGGGCUUGCUCCUUUUGUUGCCUUAUUUUGACAAGCCAAGGGCUAUACAUUUGUGGGUUUGAUAACUAUUAUAUGUAAGCGGGCAUAAGCCUUGGAAUUUGUAGCCUGUGGGGCAUUAUUUUGCCCUUAGCUUACUUAUUUACACUACAUGCUAAAGACUCAUGUUCCAGGAAGUGUUGAAUGUAUAAUUGCAUGUGGGGUGUUUUAUAAAUCUCUUGGGUAUAUUAUGAAUACAAUCAAUGAGAUUGAUGAUUAUAUUGAUGAUAGAAAUCAUAUAUCUUA
Molecule: long non-coding RNA, 536 nt
Organism: Camellia sinensis
Lineage: Eukaryota; Viridiplantae; Streptophyta; Magnoliopsida; Ericales; Theaceae
Source: RefSeq, a predicted model, not a curated record